UACGUAGGGGGCAAGCGUUGUCCGGAAUCACUGGGCGUAAAGGGCGCGUAGGUGGCGACCCAAGUCGAUGGUGAAAGCUCGCCGCUCAACGGCGAGUCGGCCACCGAUACUGGGUUGCUGGAGCACUGUAGAGGCAGAUGGAAUUCCGGGUGUAGCGGUGGAAUGCGUAGAGAUCCGGAAGAACACCGGUGGCGAAGGCGGUCUGCUGGGCAGUUGCUGACACUGAGGCGCGACAGCGUGGGGAGCAAACAGG
This 253-nucleotide ribosomal RNA is filed under the name uncultured bacterium. Its description in RNAcentral is "partial 16S ribosomal RNA". It matches the Rfam family "Bacterial small subunit ribosomal RNA", at positions 524 to 776 of the family's 1533-position model. The record is from RNAcentral.